AGAUUGAUUGAUUGAUUGAUGUUUUCCGCCACACUCAAAACAUUUUCAGUUAUCUGGUGCCGCCCAGUUUUUAUUGGUGGAAGAGAGAACCCAGAUACAAUGUACCUGGGAAGAGACCACAGACCUUCCGAAAGUAAACUGGGAAACUUUCUCACUUAACGGCGCGAGCGGGAUUCGAACCCGCGCCGACAGAGGUGAGAGGCCGUGUGAUUUUUGAGCGCGAUGCUCUUUUCUUUUCUCUCUCUUUUAUUGAUUAACAUUUAAACAGAUCAUCAGUUACAAUCACAUUUAAAACACUUUGUAUCUAAAAUAUGAAAAAUAAUAUUCCCUCCGUUUCUUUCAAUAGAGGAUUUCUAUGUAAGAAAAACUUUACCACUCGGCCACGGAGGCCCCGAAAUUCUUAAGAAAAGAAGCUCUGGUUAGACAUUUUUAUAUGCUUUUAGAUUUUAUUAUAUUGGGAACUAGGAUUUGUAAUUACUAUUUCUGUGUGUAUACUGUUGAUUAAUCAAAGCUUUCAUACCAUACAAAUAAUGAAGGGGGUGAACCCACAUCUGGGCAUUGAGGAGGGAAUUACUAUGUUUACAGCUGAAGUUUAUUAUUCAUUUCUGUUUCGAAAUAUCUAUUUACGAUGUCAGAUCAUAAAUAAUUAAGCACUCUAGGGUCAGAUUACCAUGAAUAUACCCAGAUUUAAAAAAAUCGCAGUAUUCUACAUCCUUUGCCUGUUUUGUAAAAAUAAAUAAUUCAUAACGAAAAAUUACAUCAUAUUGCUAUUAUUAGCUUUCGGGGUAUGCAUUAAUCUACGAUUCACGUUACGCGAAUAAAUCUGCAUUGUUUAAGUGGUCUCAUUGAGAAUUCACUCAAUGAAAUCGGUUCAAACUAUAUAAAGCUUUUCAUUCAUAUAUAUCGUAAAGUACUUCCUCCUUUUAACUUGACGGCAAAUACAUGAUAGAUAAAUAUAUAGAACACGCUGAUUGGAUAAUCGGGGCCAUUCUUUUAUUUCAUUGGUUGAUCCGGACUCGGAAUUUAACUCGGGAUAAACUUUAAAGGUAAUCAAUACCUGCAUACCUUUUUCCCAGUAUGAUUUAUCUAUCUACCUCUUACGUAACGAAACUAAAAAAAAAUCCCUACACAUCCUACACGUAGAGGCCUUCCUGAAACGUAAUGAUUAGCCAAAAUGGAAGAUAAAAAUUUUCCAAUCGUAUAGUUUUAUUUUCAACUGAUAGCAAAUAUGGCAAAGGGGCAGCCAGUACACCCUCGUCAUGCUAAAACAACAACAGCAAUCUAUAUAAACUGACCACACUUCUGGACAAAAUGUAAAUCUGUAACACUACAUUGCACACAGUCAAUUACUGGUGAUAUUUUACAAAUAUCUUAACACAAACAUAAAUCCUACACACGCGCACACCUAUGCAAUCACACCUACACCUACGCACGCACGCACCUACACCUCACAUACCUACACACCCACCUUCACCUCACACACCUACACCUACACAAACACACACACACACACCUCACACUAUAUAAUAUAUAUUCAUCAUAAAUAUUAAUCAUUUACUCAUUCCACUAUCGGCAUUUCAUUUGUCACAGACAUAAGGAAUUUCUACGUAUGAACACAUUAAUCUAGUACAUAGGAAAACUCGGAUAGCAUUUCCAUGGACUCGUUCUCUAGAUUUCGUUCUGAACUUCGGUCUGAGUCUGAACACGUGAUGGAGCGAGAUAGCGCGAGAUUCGUGUAACCAAUGGUAAACUGAGUUAACUGGUUGUCUGACUGUAGCUCGGUGAGAUGCGUAUUCCACGAACUGCUUCUGGAGGGUUUCAGUGUCUUUACAGUCGUAGAUUCUGAACAUUGAGACGAUGAUGAUGCUGUACUCCGUUCUGUGUCCGAUUCGUUUCUUUUGUUUUCCUGCAUUAGUCUCUUCGUUAGUACUUUUUCUUUCGGUUGUGUUUCUUCAUUUUCAGUUGGCAUAUCUAUGGUUUCUGACGCGGUGGGUUGGGGUUUUGCAGUCACGUUCGGCUGAGAACUUGAAAUUGUAAAACAAAAUAUGACUAUUCCAGAAUCUAUCCUCCUUUGGAUAAACAUGUCUUCGCAUAUCUAUCACAUCAAAUUGGCAUCAUUCAAGGUUCAUCUUAUGGUAUCUAAUUCCUUGUUAAUAAGGAUAUAAUGAUAUAAUUACACUGUAUCCAUAAUGAUUUAGACACAAGUUCAAUUUCAACACAAUUGAUUUCGAAUUCUCAUAAUUCAAUUACUUACUUGUUCAGACACAAAAGCCUAUCUUCUUCCUUUGUUUUGUCGACCUUUGUUGAUGCUAAAUAAGUAAGUAGGUAAAAAUAUUUUAAAGUCGGUACACGCAUGUACAUAUACGUUGAACAAUGAAUACUGAGUUCAUAUAUACGUAACAUACUACAAAUAGGACAAAUGAUGUAAUGAACUUUCAGAACAGUUUCCCAUAAUGGACGUUUUGUAAUCCGGUUACACCAGGAAAAAGGAUUACUUUAGUAUAAAUACCACACUGCACAGAAGUCUGGGAUCAGUGACUCGGUUAACUUCUGUAACUCAGUUAACAAUAUAUUGAUAAAUCACAUAAUCAUGUUCAAAUGUAUCUUACUGUAUUGACUAAUGGCAGAUUGUUUCUGAGCACGGCGAAUGAAGACAUAGGCGGUGCUGAAGAGAACCAAUGACGCCAGCAGACUCAUUACAAUGACGAGUAACACGGUGGGUGAUGACGGACCUGCAAGAAAACACAUCUAAUGUCAGAAUUUUGUAUCAAUGAAAUUUGAAACUAAAUAAGCUACUUACUUGCACUUGCACAGAUUUACGUAAGUGAAGGAGUAGGUCUUUGCUAUAUGUAAUCAGAACUUGAGUUAUUACAAAAUAUAUUUCUCACCUUGAAAUGUAAAGUCCUUUGGAUCAUUUGCUGAGGCUUUUAGUUCUUUCGUACUUGAGAUUCUGAAAGAGAUUUACAGAUUUGUAAGAAAAUCUAACCCCUGUAGAUAACGUAGGCGUAGUGUGAGAGAAACUCACCCCUGCAUACUUACUCUAUGACAUCCCCACAAAUAGCGUCGGCUUUGUCGGUACAUUGGCUCUCUUCCUUUCGUCCAAGAGAGCUACAGUUCCUGCACGUUCUGCAGGUGACGUCAAAAGAGCGUCUGUCGUUGUAUGUUCCCGGAGGACACUUUCUACAGGGAGAACAAUUCUUGGCUCCGUGUACGGGGUCCAUUCUUAGACUGUGUUCCUGUAAGUGCAGGUAAAUAUAUCAAUUGCUAAAAAGUUCAAGUUCAUUCAUUUAAUGUUAAUUAAUUACAAAACCAUUUAUAACACGUGGUACAUGAGAACGCUAUAUAAGUUACACACGUUCAGAGUAUGAAACAUUAGAUCGAAAAAUUUAAGUAGCAUAUGACUGAAUUUUUAAUAUAUUAUAAACCUCAGAUAAACUAUUUUUCUUUUUCAAAUGAAGGAAAUAUUUUUGAUAUUAUGACUCAUUAUUAUAGUUCAGAUAUUUUGUGACGUGUGUUUGUUUUACUGAGGAACCGUACGCUCGGUGAUCCCCCUUUUGUACCUGCACAGAGAUGAGUGAGUACCCCUUGUUGCAUUUGUCACACUGAAGACAUACGCCGGCUUGAAAAUGGUAGAAGGUAUUGGAGCCCGGCUCACAGACCACAGUUGUUGCCCGCUGUGAUCGACCUUGGGCUCCAUGAAGACAGAGCAAGUCGAGUAGCGCCAACAUCAAACACACAUACAAUUCUGAUUUCAUCCUGCUUCAAUACGAGGCGGAAAAAAUCCUGUGGGAAGAAGUGGAAUAAAUGAGGGCUGUCGUCACAAAGUAAUCGAGGGUGCUUAUGUACACUUCAAACUUUGAUGAUCAAGGCCAGUAUUAAGCUUUGUUGAUUUUCAAAAAUAUCUUCUAGUUCAAAUAUUUGCAAUGUCGGCACUUUUUAGCCAAAUGAAAUAAAAUAUAAAAUGAAAAAGCACUAAGGCAAAUAAAUAUAUAUUUUUUCACUUCAAAAUAUUUAUCAUAUCAAAAUUAAAUAUAUAUUCAUUGUUCUAAAACUAGUCUGAAGAGAAAAAAUUUGUCGCAAAUUCAUUUUAACAUUAAGAAAAUUAAAGCACAAAAUGUAAGUAGAGAAUAUUUAAAGUUUUGCGAUGCGGUUCAUAAUAAAUUAGCUUACCCUAAUCAAAGAAAAUGUUCAUCCUUUUUCUCACAAUUGACGAAGCCAAUGUUUAAUUAUAUCAGGCUUACAUUUCUUCGCCUUCCCUCUCGUCCUGUAACCACAAACUAAAGUUUCAACAUUCAUAUCGCAUUUAUAGUAUAUAUACAAGUACUUCCUAAAGAAAUGUGUAUUCUAAAUAGUGUAGGAAGAUUUAAAAAUAAUCGGAGCAUUUGAUUGGUCGAUGACGUAGAGUGUUUAUUAUUGGAUGCCCGUGUUGUAAGAGAAGUAUCACGCGGUCGAUCUACUUUCAUAAUACAGUCUACGUUGCUUAAUUUGAAAACGAGUAAGACAAGACCUUCUUAUCACUUCUUAUCUCUGAGAUACAAAAUCAUACAUCUGUUUAUUUUUGCAUCUUUUUUUAGAAACAUUCUACUUUUUCCUUUAUUUGAUAUAUAUGAAAAGAAAAACCUUUUUAUUAAUUUUCCUGCAUGUGAUAAGCUUCAAAAAAUACCCUGAAUCGAUAGCUAGAUUAACAUCUAAACAAUCUCCCAUUCAUUAUGUUGUCGAUUUAUUAUCUUUCUCUUCUUUCACUUUUCCUGCUUUUUGUCGGGGUCGGGGUGGGGGUGACGGUAGGCGCUUCUAAUUCUAAUUUCGGAGAAUUUAGAAUCCUACACAGAACGCACGUAAUUACGUAUUCGUGCAGUCUGACAAAACUCUUCAUUGUUUCCAAUAUUGCCUACAUCUACUACACGGUACACGAGAACGCGUAUACUUGUAAUUAUAACAAUUACUGUCUUUCUGGAGCAGACAAAAUUGCUGUACACUAGCGAGCUAGCUAUACCCGAUACAUGUACAUAGUUUAGGUCGUAUCUUUUAUUGAAUUGUUCUGUUUGUUUGUUUUUAGUGCUGUUAUACUAUUAAGAAAAUGUCACAUUGAUGUUUAAUUUUUUACCUGUGUAUACUUUGUACGUUCACUCUUUCUCUCUCUGAAUUGUCUACAAUUAUCAUUGUGUACAAUCGUUACUCUGAUGAGCCAGUUUGGCUCAAAGAAAUAAAGAAAUUAAAAUCGUUUAUAAGGGGUGGUCCUAUGGACACUCUAAAUAUGACCUCGUCAUCAACACGGCCGGAGGCUCCGUCAAACAGGAAGUCGGUGUACGUCUCCAUAUCUGCUUCAUUUCUACCAUACACAAUGGCGGAUCUAGGGGUGGGGCCGCCCCUGAUACAUAUAAUUACAUCUUAUGAUAGGAUCAUUUUGAUGACUUUUGGUCGCUAGACGAAACAAUUUUAAAUACUCGCUUUACAAACAUGAAUUAAGGCUAUCAUUUUAUAUGUAUAAACAUUACUGUUACGGCUUUUAAAAAUCACAAAGGCAUGAAAUAUCGUUCCAACUUGUAAAUGCACUAGCAUUAGUUAAUACAAUAUGGAAGGUUUAUAAUAAACAAAACAUUUGAAGAAAAAAUAUUAAAAUCACACUUACUAAUACAGGUGUUUAGAAAUUUAGGUGUGAUAAUAGAUUUGUUCAUUGAAUGAAAGCAAAAAAAAGUAAAGUUUUUCAACACGUAAAACUUGAUCAUCUGGAGAUUUGUAUGUGCUUUUCAUGGGUUUUUAUUGAAACCUUGCUGGCCUACGUGCUGAUAUGGCAAUUUGCAAUAAAGAAGCUGAAUUUAUAAAAUGUUGAUGUGGUAUGCAAAUGAAGGGAACUGGAAUAUCAUUAGAUUUUGAGCUUUAAAUGGAUUGCAGAAACCUAGCAUGCUUCAGAAAUGCGACUGAUGUGUCAUAAAUAUAUAAACCAAGUGACAUAUCAGCGUUAUAAACCAAUCCGCGACAAUGUCUCAUAUCGUUAACGGACUCCCAAACAUUUGGCAAAAUCACAGGGGCUAAGCCCGUUUUAUGGUAUCACAGAGUUCGGGCCCAAAACGGACUUGGUCCCUGUGGGCAAAAUACUGGCUAAAGUCAAAAGUAAAUUUUACUUUACUCGAUCAAUUCAAACAAAAAUGGAACGCUGUCAACAACUACGAGCUAUAGAGUGUACAAGGAUGAAAUAAAAUGCGAAAAAUAAAUUCAAUAUCCUAUCUAGAAAUGAUACUAUGCUAAAUUUCGAACCUGUAAUCAUGCACUACUUAUAACGAAAGUGAACGCUGGCAAAAUGAACUCGGAGUUAUACAUGCGAUUUAAUUGAAAUUGGUGAAUUAAUCUCACUGCAUGUUUAAUAGCAACUCUCUGAUUGAUGUAAGUAAUUUAUCACCAAAACAAAUACGUUUCAAAAACAGUAUAUAUUACAUUUAAAAAUAUAAUGAAUUCAAACAUAUAAUCUUCUCUAAGUUUAAGCGGCCAAUAUUCAAUUCAGUAUUUAAUAAUUUCAGAGAAAAUUUGUUGAAAAUGAAGAAAUAUACAUGAAAAGUGUCGUAAAUCAUUACUCGGGAAAAAAUCACCUUUGAUAGUCGAUCUACCUCGCUAACCUUCUUAAUUUUGUUCAUCAAUGUCAAAAAAACCAUGCACUUCCGUUCGUCCACUUCUGAAGUUUUAUGCUUUCAAAAAAUCACCACGUCCACAUCUAAAGCGAUACCUGUCCACUUUGUGAAAACGAGUCCCGUUAAUUUUUAAAACGUAAUUAAUUAGUUCCAUUGACAUCCCAGGAAGAAGAAUCUGCCGUAUGAGUUCCUCGUUAUUUUAGAAGUUCUUCCCCAUUUUAACCGAAGUUUCAGAAAUGUACUACAUUCAUCAAAAUUGUUUGUAUUUAAACACCCCGCAAACCAAAUAAAAGUGGAAUUAUCUGGGUCAGGGAUAGCGGUGAUACGAAUAUAGGCCAAGUGGUUUCAUAUUUAUUAUUAAAUAUGUUUUUCUUCCAGCACUACACGUUGAAGUUUCUGAAAUUUACAACACCCUUUGAUCAGAAUUUCACCUACACCAGCCUUACCUGAGAAAGAAUCGCAAGCGUCUAUCCCUUCUUUCUUCUUAUUCUGAUAAUUUUUAUAAAAUCAAAGGUAAAAUUCUCGUUCUAACUAGGAUCCAGGAAGACUAGAAUUUGUUUUAAGUUUCCGUUUUAGAAAAUUAAAAAAUAGAACACCUUCCUAUAAGAUAGCCGCUUCCUCUAAAUAUCAGCGCUCCUUUAACAGUUUGUCUAUAUGAUCUACGACAGGCAUAUUGAUAAAUAUGCGAUGAAUGUGUUCUAUGUUUACUAUCCUGAUGCUGUUUACCUUAACAAAGAGGACUGCAGCUCAAAUUCACUAUGUAUUCUGUAAAACAGGUAUUGUUGAGGAGUGGGCUGCUUUUAUGAUGUACAGAGAGAAAGAGAGCGAGAGAUUGUUUGUGUUUGUAGACAUACGACUUAUUUAUGUCAAAGUGCAUGUAUUUAUGUUGACAUGCGAUUUAUUUAUGUAAACAUGCGAAUUCUUCAAUGUCGACUUGUUUAAGUCGACAUGCAGUAUUCUUCAGUCGACAUGCGAUUUAUUUAUAUCGAUAUUCAUUAAGGUAUUCAUGUCAAAUCAACAUAAUUAUCUCGCACGUUUAAAUACUACCCUUUUUGGGGCAUACAUACAAAGUAGUAGGCCGCCGACAGGAUUUCUCCUGGCCCCUCUAUCCUGCACAUUUUGUUCCAGUUCUUUCCUUGUUUUUCCUAUUGUUUUGGUGUCGCCCUCCAGGUCUCUCCGCCAGGUGUUUCUUGACCUACCCCUCUUACCUUUUCCUUGGAGGGUUCCAGGAUAGUGCUUGCCUUGUGAUGUUCGGAUUUGGUUUGCGGAGAGCGUGCCCUAUCCACCAUAUACAUAAGUUGCAUGUCUGCAUAAUUAUGGUGCAUUUUAUUUUGAAGUGCUCUCUAUAAUCAAAUUUUGAGAAACCAAUUUAUCAACAACAAAAAAUUGGUAAUCGAUUUUUUUAAGAAAUAGUUAGAUGUUUCUGUAUUUGUUGAUUUUUUUUUUUUUUUUUUUUUUUUUUUGUAGGCAGAUAGAAAACAUCGUUGUUUUUCUGAAUAAACAAACACAACAAUUUCAAGUGGCUGAUUUUUACUGACAGUAAUUGGUGUGGACGCUAGACUACGUUAUAUCGUGCAUGUCCUGCGUCAUACGAGAUGAUCAAAGGCUCACUACAACUGCAGUGGUUUCGUUUCAUUCGUUUUUAUGAAACGGAUCAUGUAUGGUUUUACAAGCCGUUGGCACCAGUUCGUGACGUUACUUAUAUAAGAUACACAAUGGCUGCAUUUUAUCUAAGAUUCCCUAACAAGAGCAGAGCAAACAGUAUCUCUCCAAAACCCGGGGGCAGCUAUUGUGUCAGCCAUUGUGUCGAAGUCCAUUGUACCAACUGCAGUCUGUUAAAACUAAAUCCUGACAUACAAAGAGGGCCGACAUGUUCCAUUACGCCCUGAGUCAGAUGUGAUAUUGCGCUCUUUGACUAGUGAUUACAGUCUAAGUACAAGUCUGCCUUGUCGAUGUACAUGUCAUUAGCUGUGUACUGUAUGGGAUGCCAACAGAGCACUUCAAUGAUACACCGACAUAUAUGUCUCUGUUUUGAAAACAGUGUUGUGUAACCGGAAGCGAGAAAAUGCAACGGACCAGAUCGGGAUUCGAACCCGGGGCCCCUGAAUCUCUAGUCAGGUGCUCUACCAGCUGAACUAACUGAACGCCAGCAAUCGCGGACCCGUCUGACUACCACCUCCCUCCUGAAAUUCUUCACAUUUUGAAGACACACAACCCAGAUUUUGAUUUGCCCCUGGCAAGACUUUCACCUGCAAAUCUAGGGCACCCAAUGUAACAGGAAGCGAGAAAAUGCAACGGACCAGAACGGGAUUCAAACCCCAGCGCCCUGAAUAUCCAGUCAGGUGUUCUACCAACUGGGCUAUCUGGCCAUCGGCGAUCGAACUCGACUGACCGUUACAGUAGUUUAAUACCUUACAAUUCUUAUCUUUCAUGACAAACUGACCCAUUAAAUGUGAGAAGUGUUUGAGUUUUUAUAGAACAUGAUGAUUUGGACCGCCAGAGAUGUGGGAGAUGACUUUGGAACCUGUCGUUCCAAGAACCUCCCCAGUGACGGAGAUCUAAUAAGGGGAUACUUCCAAGAACCUUCCCAGUGACAGAGUCGGUGAUCACAGAUCUAAUAGGGUGAUACUUCCAAGAACCUCCCCAGUGACGGAGUCGUUGAUCAAGGAUAAAGCACCCUUGAUCUUUUAUUGUUAGAUAUGCAUUGCAUUUAAUAAGGAAGGUGAUUUGAAGUGCUCUUUUCCUGAGUUUCUCUGAUAGCGUAAUGGACUUAAUUUAGGAGGAAAUUAACAAUAUGUCAAUACACUCUAAAGAGGCUCAUCCCGCGCGCCUAUAGAGUACCAAUUCAUUUCCCAUAGACCUCAAUACUAACCUUUAAAUUGGCCCUCUCACUAAUUAACUAUAUUAAUUUUAAACAAAUGACCACAAACAUUUCAAAGUUCAUUCCAUGUUUUAAUAAAAAACGACAAAAAUUAUAUAGGGUCCCGUGCCUUCUAUAGUUCAUAUUUGUACUUUUUUUUUUUUUUUUUUUUUACAACACAUAGCAAUCUGCAGUAAAUUACACUCAAAAUAACUCAAAA
Long non-coding RNA from Ostrea edulis (European flat oyster), 9703 nucleotides. RefSeq lists it as uncharacterized. The transcript is spliced from 2 exons. The record is from RefSeq and is a predicted model, not a curated record. Lineage: Eukaryota; Metazoa; Mollusca; Bivalvia; Ostreida; Ostreidae.